CAGCGCUCCUGUCCUUUUCCCGCCCUCACCUCCUCUCUCGGCUUUUUCCGCCAGCAUUGCGCUUUGUGUCCCUCGUUGUUGAAACGGAAUCAAGGAAAUACCGGACACAAUCACUGCCAGCUCUAGCCUGAAAAACGUAGCCCCGGGAGAUCUGCGCACUGCAGUUUCCGGCCGGGACAUCCAUCGCGCGUGCAAGGCGCACAGACAGUUCUGAGCGCACGUACUAGAUCGCGGCUCUUAAGCCGGUCAGUCCAUCCUCG
Molecule: long non-coding RNA, 260 nt
Filed under: Marmota monax (woodchuck)
Lineage: Eukaryota; Metazoa; Chordata; Mammalia; Rodentia; Sciuridae
Source: RNAcentral